Labeo rohita (rohu) is the source of this 303-nucleotide long non-coding RNA. RefSeq lists it as uncharacterized. Lineage: Eukaryota; Metazoa; Chordata; Actinopteri; Cypriniformes; Cyprinidae. The record is from RefSeq and is a predicted model, not a curated record. The transcript has 3 exons.
ACGGAAAAACGGAAUGAGUUACACAUGUUGAACUCCACAUGGUCCACUACACUCCCCCACCUUAGUUUGCAAAACUGAGCCCAUCGCAAAACUAUUGAAAAACUCCACAUUGCGCCCCUGGCUUGAAAAACAAAAGUUUCACCUCUUCUGAUGUAUGAACAUUACGCAAUUUUUGAUUAAUUACACCAAGUCCCGCUUCCACGCACAAAGGAGGAAAAAAAUCCAUUAACUUUAUGCAGAUCCAGCCGUGCCGCAAGGGCUCAGCAGGAUGCGGUGACUUUAUGCGCGUGUCGGGUAAGAAAG